UACAGAGGGGGCAAGCGUUGUUCGGAAUUACUGGGCGUAAAGGGCGCGUAGGCGGCCUGCUAAGUCGAACGUGAAAUCCCUGGGCUCAACCCAGGAACUGCGUCCGAUACUGGUUGGCUUGAAUCCGGGAGAGGGACGUGGAAUUCCAGGUGUAGCGGUGAAAUGCGUAGUUAUCUGGAGGAACACCGGUGGCGAAGGCGACGUCCUGGACCGGCAUUGACGCUGAGGCGCGAAAGCCAGGGGAGCAAACGGG
This 253-nucleotide ribosomal RNA is filed under the name uncultured bacterium. RNAcentral describes it as "partial 16S ribosomal RNA". It matches the Rfam family "Bacterial small subunit ribosomal RNA", at positions 524 to 776 of the family's 1533-position model. The record is from RNAcentral.